AUGACGACCGCUGUAACUUCGAUAAAAAAAGGCCUAUUUGAUCUCGGCCAUCCUCUUGUUAAUCGCAUCGCCGAAUGCUCCGUCAAAGCCGCCGGAAUCGGAGCCGCUCAAGCCUUCCUCACAUCGCGAUUGCAACACCGGCCGAUCUCGCCGCACGACACCAUGAACAACCAGCCAACGCUCUACUCAACGUAUGAAAGCAACCAUCAAGCCACUUUCUCAGACCAUCUGAAUCACUUUCUCAGAUCCGCUGAACCACACCCUCGUCCGUGA
Vicia faba (fava bean) is the source of this 273-nucleotide non-coding RNA. Lineage: Eukaryota; Viridiplantae; Streptophyta; Magnoliopsida; Fabales; Fabaceae. The record is from the annotation of a GenBank genome assembly.